UACGUAGGGGGCAAGCGUUGUCCGGAUUUAUUGGGCGUAAAGAGUGUGUAGGCGGCUUUACAGGUCCGUUGUGAAAACUCGAGGCUCAACCUCGAGACGCCGGUGGAAACCGUAAGGCUAGAGUCCGGAAGAGGAGAGUGGAAUUCCUGGUGUAGCGGUGAAAUGCGCAGAUAUCAGGAAGAACACCUAUGGCGAAGGCAGCUCUCUGGGACGGUACUGACGCUGAGACGCGAAAGCGUGAGGAGCGAACAGG
Molecule: ribosomal RNA, 253 nt
Filed under: uncultured bacterium
Lineage: Bacteria
Description: partial 16S ribosomal RNA
Rfam family: Bacterial small subunit ribosomal RNA
Source: RNAcentral